Molecule: long non-coding RNA, 820 nt
Organism: Canis lupus familiaris (dog)
Lineage: Eukaryota; Metazoa; Chordata; Mammalia; Carnivora; Canidae
Exons: 3
Source: RefSeq, a predicted model, not a curated record
AUUCUGUGUUAACCCUGUACUAUUGUGGACAAUCUAGUAAAACUUCUCAGAUCAAUUAUUUUCUGAAUCAAGGCCAACAGCAAAUCCUGGCACAGAAUUCCAAGAUGAGAGUAAAUGAUUACAUGUGGCAGAAUAAAGAAGAGAAGGACCAAUCCUCAAAUGGUCAAUGGAAUCAUGAGAUGUUAGAACUGACCUGUAGUAAAAUAGCGUAUCCAUUACAAUUAGGUCUGGCUGUAACAAAGACCUGAGAAUUUAUGUCUUAAGCAAUAUUAGAAGUUAUAUUUUGUCAACUAAAUGAAGUCGAGACUUAGGCAAUCAAAGGCUGGUAUGGUGGCCCAGGCUCCUUCCAGGUCAUUGCUCUGCAAUUCCUAUCAAGGCCCUUCUUGUCAUGCUCCAAGAUGAUGACCAGAGCUCCUGCGAUCCCAUCAAAAUUCCAGACAGCAAAAUGGAAGAAGACUUGAAGGGGCAAAAAGCAUGCAUCAUCUGUCUGGCAAAUCCUGUAGUUUAGGUGCAUACACCACCUACUCCUUAGGAAUAAAAAGAAGCUACAAUUUUCCAUUGGUGCUUUUCUCUCAGAAUGACUACCACUGACAGAACUGAUGAGAUGUUGCCUGCAAUACAGUCACUUUGUAGCAUGACUACAACAUACAUCGACACACUGGCUGCGAUGAAGGUCUCCAAAAGAAACCAUCCUUUUUGGGGAUCCCUGGGUGGCUCAGCGGUUUAGCGCCGCCUUCUGCCCAGGGUGUGAUCCUGGAGACCUGGGAUCGAGUCCCGCAUUGGGCUCCCUGCAUGGAACCUGCUUUUCCCUCUGCCUAUG